RNAcentral lists this ribosomal RNA (433 nucleotides) under uncultured bacterium. RNAcentral describes it as "partial 16S ribosomal RNA". It matches the Rfam family "Bacterial small subunit ribosomal RNA", at positions 29 to 507 of the family's 1533-position model. The record is from RNAcentral.
AACGAACGCUGGCGGCAUGCCUAACACAUGCAAGUCGAACGAGACCUUCGGGUCUAGUGGCGCACGGGUGCGUAACGCGUGGGAACCUGCCCUUAGGUUCGGAAUAACUCCCCGAAAGGGGUGCUAAUACCGGAUAAUGUCUUCGGACCAAAGAUUUAUCGCCUUUGGAUGGGCCCGCGUUGGAUUAGCUAGUUGGUAGGGUAAAAGCCUACCAAGGCGACGAUCCAUAGCUGGUCUGAGAGGAUGAUCAGCCACACUGGGACUGAGACACGGCCCAGACUCCUACGGGAGGCAGCAGUGGGGAAUAUUGGACAAUGGGCGAAAUCCUGAUCCAGCAAUGCCGCGUGAGUGAUGAAGGCCGUAGGGUUGUAAAGCUCUUUUACCCGGGAUGAUAAUGACAGUACCGGGAGAAUAAGCUCCGGCUAACUCCGUG